Molecule: transfer RNA, 72 nt
Filed under: Camelus bactrianus (Bactrian camel)
Lineage: Eukaryota; Metazoa; Chordata; Mammalia; Artiodactyla; Camelidae
Also listed under: 2 other names
Rfam family: tRNA
About the family: Transfer RNA (tRNA) molecules are approximately 80 nucleotides in length. Their secondary structure includes four short double-helical elements and three loops (D, anti-codon, and T loops).
Source: Rfam by way of RNAcentral
GAGGGUAUAGCUCAAGUGGUAGAGCGCAUCUUAGCAUGCACGAGGUCCUGGGUUCAAUCCCCAGUAUCUCCU